GGGGUUUCGCAGCAGGUCAGCGGCGGUUUCCUGGUUCCGGACGCAGGUGGGUUCCGCCCCCGGAUACUCCAACCCUUCGAGGGUUCAAAUCCCUCCUCCACCGCCA
RNAcentral lists this transfer RNA (106 nucleotides) under Nocardiopsis aegyptia. RNAcentral describes it as "tRNA-Arg". The record is from RNAcentral. Lineage: Bacteria; Bacillati; Actinomycetota; Actinomycetes; Streptosporangiales; Nocardiopsidaceae.